GGGUGAUCCACCUCUUGUGGAAUAUUUUAUUAUUUCUCCUACUUGUUGGUGUACGUUUUUUUCAUUCACCGAAUAUUAGAAUAAAAUGUCAAGGACAUUCUACCCUCUCUUGAUCAAAAUCACUACGUAUGCCAAGAUUGCACAAGAAAGACCACACAGCGACUCCAAGGUUUAUAUAUGCGAACAAGCAACUUUGUGUUGGGUAGCUACCUUGGUUAUGUAUUGCUGAAAUACUAGGGGGACUUACGUAGAAUGGUUCACAAGUUUAGGACUUAGACAAAUUUAACAAUAAGUGGUCUUUUCUUCUCUUUUUGGAUUUUUUGGAUUUUGACUUUAUAAAAAAGGGUAAAAAAGAUAAGGGUUUAGAGGUUCUAUUCUACUCCUAGGAAACUUUAGAGACGGUAUUGACUAAGGCAAAGGGAAACCUCACUUUGGUUUGCCAAAUCAACUAGACAAAGCAGGGUGCAAUCUUCAAGGGGAAUGUGUUUGUAGUUUUCACGCCUAAAGUAAAUACCAUUGAUAUAGACUUAGACAUAAGUUAAGCAUCCACAUAAAAUAGAUCAGGGUAACUUUGCACGAUGAAUGAAAAUCAUCCACUCACCAAAAGUAUGAGCAAAUAACUUCAUCUUGAAUCAACACUUAUCAAAUCUCGCAUUCCAUUUAACAACUUAAAGUAAAUUCUAAUCUAUUGUGUUGAAGAAAUUGUAAACCAUGCCAAUCAUUCAAAUAAAAGAGAUUACAAGACCUAGAAGCACACAAGCAAUUUAUUAUCCAAAAUGACCUCUCGCAACAAUUUAUCAAAAAUCUCACACUCUCCAAAUGAGAGGAGGAAACCUUAUAUAGGCACACAAAAGUUUUGAACGACCGAUAUCAAACAGUGAUCAGGGGCCUAGAUUGAAAGAUCAAAACCCUAAUUAGGGUUUGUUACAACUAACUACCCCUCGACCAAUGAGAAAAUUACAUUUGAGAACACUUGUCCUUGCUAAAUAUAAGGCAAUAAUAAAAAUAGAAGGUUGUUGCAUUGUGAAGUGUGCCUUCGAGAAGCUUCUAUGGAUAAGUCAGGUUCAUUGAACCUGGACAUGCUAACUUGGAACAAUUUGAUUGGCUGGAAGAUGACGAGGCGCCACCUUAGCAUGUUGGAUGUCCUCUUUGAAUUCUCCUAUCUGUUUGGAAUACUCUUCUUGUCACCAUCUGAUUCUGAUUGGGAGCUUGUCUUUGACUCUCCAGGAGAUGAAAUCCUUCAAAAUUUAUUUAAUUUUUCCAUAUCUUCACCAAGUUUGAGGACCCUUCUUUCUUGAUAUUUUGAAAUUCUUUCAAGUGCCUUAUGGAAUAGUUUUUCCCAUAGCCAGCCAAAUUUUGGCCAUCUUUAUGCUCAGACGAAGCUUGCUUGUGGACCCGUUUUCAAUUCUAAAUUUGGCUUGAAACUCCAUUUGUGUUUUCCGCGAUAAUCCCGCCUUCAGCUGCCAUUUAUGAUCUGCAAAACCCAAAGAAAAUUAAGUUAAGAUUCUUACUUGAGUGCAAAUUUUGAAGGUUUGAUGGCAUAAUGAGUUCUGAUUUUGGUCCUUUAACUCCAAUUUCCCAACAUUUAAGUUUCAACAGGUUGCAAGCACUUAGGAAUUUAUUAAAGCUUUAGGAAAGCUUGAAAAGCUCAAUCUGAUUUGAGAAUUUGGGACUGGAAUUUGUCUUUGAUUAGUAACUUACUCCCAAAAUCUGUGAAAUAAAUGAAAAAUGAUGAGAAAAUUUGACCAAGUCGUGAAAAUCAGACUCAUUUUCCUUGAAAACUCCAUCCAAAAUUUGAAAACCAGAUUGAAAACUCAAUAAAUCUGCCUUGAAUACUCCUGUCACCUUUAGAAUUUAGGCAAGAAAUGAGAAGAAAGAAUGUUUGCUGUGAAAAUUUUCAUUUCUCCCUCUUGUAAAUGCCUUAGAAAAAUCUCUAAUCUGUUCUUGAAGCUCCGAAGAUGCCUUAGAAAACCUGAAAUGAUCUUUUCUUCAAGUGUCUUGCUCUCCAAACUCGAACUGUUGAAAUGAAUGAAUGACUCAAAGAGUUUCAUUUCUGCAUUUAGCAACACGAUUCAUCUUUCCCAAAUCGAACUUAUCUUUUUUCUAUUUUCAUCCCAUACAUUGAACUUAGACAUUCAAUAAAUGAUCUUGUUUCCUUGUCAAUUUCAGUUCAUUGAGAAAGUUUCUAUUUUUGAUUUUCAGUUGAGUUUAGCCCUUAGGAAAGUUUUGAUUUUGUUUUGAGUUCAAUAAGAAAGUUUAUAAUUCGAGUUUGAGUUCACAAAUCAAACUCUCUUUAAUUUCUUCCAAUUUUGAAACUUUCUAAAAACUCUUUCCUAGUUUGAACUUGAUCAAAUCUCUUUGAGAGCAAGGCAGAUUUCAUUCAAAUUUCUUUCCUUCUUGUUCACAGCAAAUUUAAAAUGUUUCUUUACUUAGGGCGGACUUGAAGAGGUUCAUUCUCUAUUAACUUGGGUGGACUUGGCAAGAUUUUUUUUCCCAAUGAGGGCUAACUUUAUGAAUUUCAUUCCUUUAGCCAAGUUGAUGAAGUGUCUUGUAGGGCGGACUUCAUUAACUCUUUGCACCUCUUUCUUAUUAUCUCCACACACUUCUAGACGGACUUAACUCUUUGCACCUCUUGUUUGCUGUCUUCCUAAACCUUUGGGUGGACUUGAUCACACCUUUGCACCAUGCCAAGUGGACCUCAUCAAAUGUCUUUUACAUGUGGGCGGACUUGGAAGAAGUUGUGCACCAUGUUCAAUCUUCUUCAAGGCGGACUUAGUCAUGUCUUUGCUCUUACCACAUGGCAGACUUGCUCAUGUCUUUGCACCUUUCUACAUGGGCAGACUUCAAGAGACUUGUGCACCAUAUCCAAUCAAGGGCGGAGUUCAUAGGACUUGUGCACCACAGCAUGGGCGAACUUCCUUGCUUCCAUGACCAAGCUAAGUCCCUUCCAAAGCGGACUUCAUGACAUUUAUGCACCAAGUGUGAGCGGACUUGAUCAAUCUUAUACACCAUGAGGGUGGACUUCAAGAGACCCUUGACCUUAUGAACCUCUUUGUUGGGCGAACUUGGAGAGAGAUGAUCUCCAUGAGAAUCAGAUUUGAAAUCUCCAUAACUUAUGCAUUUUAACUCGGAUCUUCUUGGAAUUUGAAAAUUUCACACCAUUCUACCCUUGAAUUCCCCUAGAUCCCUAAAAUUUAGGAACUUGGUUUUUUUGGAGAAAAUUUGAAUUUUGAGCGAAAUUCUCAAUCAUUUUCAAUAUAACUCUGAGCCAACAGUGCAAACCCUAGAUCCCCUUUCCAAAAAUAGAAAAAACAAGUAUCCCUAAAAAAUAGGAAAAACUUUCUAAAAAUAGCCAUUUCGGGGAUGUGCUUAAAGUGCCCAAAAUGGAACUUCCUAAAAAAAAGGAAAAAGUGAAAACAAAACUUUCCAAAAAUAGAAAGUUGUCCAAAUUAACCCAAAUUAAUUGCAAUCUUCAUCCUUUGGGCUUUCUAGGCACAUUGACAGUGUCUAGACUCUAUUCUGACCAUGAUUUGCACAGAUUGACUUGUGACUUCGAAAACUCGGACCUUUCAAAACUGACAAAAUUGGGCGCUGGGAAGGUUGCGAGGCUCUAACAAAAACCCUAAAAAGAAAAAGCAAGGAGGGUCCCCAUUUGCAAUGGGGCAAUGUGUGAAAAGGUCACAACACUACCUACCCCUACCUACCCUUGUUUCUCAUUGAGCCACAUGUCAUGAUUGUGUGCUCACAUAUCCAUAUGGCCUUGCCUUUAUAAGUAGGCUCAUCUUAUUUGUAUUGGUUAAUCCAGUUGAUUAUAUUUGCAUAUUGAUGAGAAUACAGUUCAUUCUUGUCAAACUACUGUCUCUCUUAUUUGUGCUAUUCAUUGUGCCCUUGAUCUUGGCAAAUUCUCACACUCAGUUUGGACUUAUAAUUGAGAAAAUAUUUUCCAUCAGUAAUAGGUUGUUAGAGGAAAUGAAUAUUAUCUCGGGGGUUAAUAAUUGAGAAGAGAAUUUACACAGGAAAGAAUCAAUUUUGAAAACCUUCCAAAGAGCUUCAAAAACUUUUAAGUCACGGCAUCCAUAUUUCAACAAUGAAUGGUAUUUCUGACAAGAGAUGUGCUCCUUUUGUAAUGUUUUUGUUUUUAAAAUUCAUCUUGUUGAGUUUCUUGUUUUAAAUUUGUUGUGAUACAGUUUGGAUUUCAUACUGCUAAAUCCAAUUUUCCCCCACCAUAGCUAGUUUUUUAUUGUAGCUAAAUAUGGAUUAUUCAAUGGGGUGUAUCCACACUGUAUCCAAUGCAGAUAUGUAUUUGAUACAGAUGAAUACAAAUUUAGAAAGUAAUGGAGGAGUAUCUGGUGGCAUAAAUUAAUAUGAUUGAAUAGUAAGUACAUUAUCCCUAGUUUCCUCUUGGCCACACAUUAGGCUCACCAAGUCUUCCAUGAGCAGUUAAAGUUGAGAUCAUAGUUUAAAGACUCGUGGACUCGCCAUAGACUCACGAGUCCAGUGGCUCCAUGAGUCGACUCAUGAAGGACUCGCGAGGCGAGUCCUGGCGAGUCUAUUUGAAAGACUCGCGUGAGUCAAAUACACAGACUCACGUGACUCAAUUAUGACGCCCAACAACGUUAAAAAGUGAUUUUUUUUUGCAUUUUUCUAUUCAUUUUCCUUUCUUUCUUGGUGAAAACAGGUUUGUAGUGUUUGAAGGAGGAGAGCAAAGAAGAUUAAAUCAGCCAAAGAGAUCUAGGUAAGGAUUUUUCCUCUUUUUUUUUUUUCAUUUCCAUGUUUUGAAGAUCCGUUAAAUCUUCAAAAACAAGGGGAUAUGCUGCCAAAUUUUUUUCUAUUUCCCUUCCUAACUUAUUUCCUUAUAUUUUUUUCUUGUUUUUGAAUGCUAUUUUUCCCAAAUGAUUCAUUAUCAUUUUUUUUUUGUUGAUUUUCUACAAAACCUUGCUGAUUUUUUUAUUUUUUCAUGUUAAAUCAGCAAUGGCAAGUUCAACUCCAAGGGCAACCCCAAGGCCAAGAAGACAAAAAGAUAAAGCAUGGAAAUAUGAGAUUCCUGGAAGCAAAAAGGGGGAAGUCACUUGCACCGAAUGUACAAAAUGGACAACGGGUGGAAUCAAUAGAUUAAAAUACCACCUUGCACAAAUAACUGGAUAUGGUGUGGAUGUAUGCCCCAAUACAACUCCUGAGCUUAUUAGAGAGAUGAAGGCCCUUCUUGCUGAGCAUGAUAUGCAAAAGGAUGAAAGGCAAAAAACAAAAGAAGCCAUGGCAGCUACAAUGAAUCCCAAAUUGUCCACUUUGGGUCCCAUUGGUCACACUCGUGGUCGUCAGUCACUUUCAUCUUUUGGUGACAAUGAGGGUGAGGCUAGUGCCACUCUUGUUAGAACAUACCUUAACUUUUUUGUACCAUGCAAUGUUCUAGGUGUACAACCUUCACUUGAAGGUACACGGUGGAAUAAAGAGAAGCAUGAACAAGCAAGAUAUCAACAUCAAACUUUUGGUUUUACAAUAAUAUACCUUUCAAUGUAGCGAACAAUGUGUAUUGGGAAGGUUUGGUUAAUGCAUUAACAAUUGCGGGUAAGGGGUUUAAGGCCCCAACAGGUUAUGACUUCAGUGGGCCAUUACUAGAGCAAGUUGUAAGAAAUACACAAGUUGUGGUUGUUGAUCAGAAAAGAUAUUGGAGGAGAAAAGGAUGUAGCAUUUUAUCUGAUGGAUGGACGGAUGGACGAAAUAGGACUUUUCUCAACUUCUUGGUGGCUUCAAAUGGUGCAAUGGUAUUCCUAAAGUUUGGUGAUGCCUCAAAUGAAAUAAAAAAUGCAGAGACUUUGUGUAAUCUAUUGGAUGGGGUGGUUCAGGAAGUUGGAGUUGAAAAUGUUGUCCAAAUUAUUAUGGACAACGCAAUUGCAUAUGUAUUUGCAGGUAGAAUGCUUAUGGAGAGGCAUCCUAUGAUUACAUGGAGUCCUUGUGCUGCACAUUCCUUGGACUUGAUGCUAGAGGACAUUGGGAAGAUUACAUGGGUGAAGAAGGUGGUUGAAGAUGCAAGAAGUGUCACCAAAUUCAUCUACAACCAUACUUGGGUGCUUGCUUUGAUGAAGAAACGCACAAAUGGCAAGGACCUUGUGACUUGGAGUGACACGAUUUGCUAGCCACUUCAUCACUUUGUAGAGCAUUCUUAGUGCCAUUCCUUAUCUUAAGUAGGUGUUUGCGUCUGAUGCUUGGUUGGGAUCUGCAUACUCCAAAAAACCUGAAGCAAAGAAGAUUGUAAGCAUUGUUUUUGAUGAAGGGUUCAACAAAAGUGGAGAGGAGUUGACUGCGGUAAGUAACAAACACAAAAGUAAACUUUAUACAAGAUAAUCUAUUUGCUCAUUUUAUUUUUUAGGGGUUAAUUUUUUAUUAAUUUAAAAUUUGUUUUCAUUUCUUUAGGUGGCAGAACCUUUGGUAAGGGAUCUUCGUAUGGUGGAUGGAGAGGGCAUGCCAAUGGGUUUCAUUUAUGAGGCCAUGGAUAGGGCCAAAGAGGCCAUUUCACAUUACUAUUUGUUGAUGUGUAUUUUGUACACGACCAAACAUAGAAUAAAAUACCCAGAGGUAUCUUAUCCUCUCUUGAGUAAAGUCUCCGAAUGCUGAAGAUAUCACAAAAAGGAUCAAUCGGAAGGACUUCAAGGUUAUGCUUUGUAGGAUCUCUACUCUCGGAUAAGUACUAGUGGUUGUUGUGUUUACUGUUUUUUCAAGGGGCCUUACGUACUUUCAAAGAAAGCUUGUUCGUGCAACUACCUUCCAAAUGAGGAAACAAGAUUCUCCUAGUACUAACAGAUUUUCAAAAAAGAUCAAAAGAUAAAGGUUUCGAGGAAGAGAUACUUAAACUAAUCCUAAGAGUGACUUAAUGAGGACUGGUCUUGAUAAGAUUUUACCAAUUUCAGUAUCGCCAAAGGAUUACAACUCACUGGAAUUGGUGCGAUCUUCUAAGGGGAUUCAACGAUUUUCAAAUCACCAAGGAGAUAGAUACUAUCAGGAAGAUACAUAUCAAUACUUCUAAUGAUGAUUGAACUCUUAAUCAAUCUUAAUGUUUCCAGUUGACCACACAAGGCGUUCUUACAAUCAGUAAGAAGCUAGUGGUUUGGAAUGUGAGUCUUAUCGAAGAUCAGGCACAACAUUCGUCCUUCAAACUUAAAAUUUAAAUGCUAUCUCUACUAAGAGUGAUUCAAGAAGAUAAACAACCAUGAAAAUAGCCACAAGGAUUGCAACAAAACACCAUAACUUCAAUAUUUCAUUGAUCUCAUAGCCAAAUAAACAACAAUUGUUCAACUUUCUCUCUUCACUACUCAAUUCUUUGCUACUAACAAAAUUAAAUUUGCUUCUCUCCAACUUUCUAACUUUUCUAACCUUUCUAACUUUUCUAACUUUUCUAAUCCUUCAAAAUGAAAUGAGUGAGGGCUUAUAUAGCAUCCUCAAAUACAAUGAACGGCCCGGAUCAAAAGAAGAUCGAUGGCUGAGAUUUUGACACCUAAACCCUAAUUAGGGUUUGUUACAAAAAAGUCCCCAUUUAGAUAAACGUUAUCAAUCCAUAGCCAAUAAGAAUUGGCAUAAAUAACGAGGAGACAUAGACCAAUAGGAAUUAAGUUGCCACAUCAUUUUAUAACAACUUUUCAUCUAGAACUUUGUUCCCUUUCCUAUGCUCUUUUCUAGCAUAUUCAAUGAAUCUGGACACAAUUCCCUCAAUCUCAGCAAUGGGAAUCUCAGGAAGAUUCUUCAUUCGUUCUUCCAAGUGAAGGACUUGAUCAAAAGCAGUGAGAAGAGUCGCCUCCCACCCAGGCUCAAGUUCUUUGGUCUUCUCAAUCAGGAACAUAGUAGCAUACAUCUGAUCUCGCUGCCUUUCUGUGACGAUGUUUUCCUCUUUGCAAAAGAUUAUUCUGAUCUUGUCUUCCAAUUCAUCGUUCUUCUAAUCCAUCUUGAUGAGAACCUGCCGAGUAGUGGAUCCACCGGUCCUGGGGGUCGUCAUUUGAUACCUACACAAAAGCUUAAAGUUAGGGUUUGAGCAUAAUACCUUAAGGCAUGGGAUUUAAGUCCUUUCAAGGAAAUAACUAAAUAUUAAUUUGACGAUAAUGUGAUAAAUCCUAGAAUUAUGAAUUUUCAAAUUAAUAUUAAUUGUGAAUUAAAAUCAGAUUGCACAAGACUUAGACUUUCAAAAGAUUGCUAUGGAAAAUCAAACUAAAUCUUGAAUAAACUUUCAAAAAUCUGAUUAUACAUACCUCUUCCUUGAUUUUUUAGCUAUCAACUUUUGAAAAAUGAAUAAAGGAAAAUGAGGAUUUGCUGGACAAGGAUGUUUGAUUUGAAUUUCUGGUCCUCUCUUUGAUGGCUUCAAUCUUCAAUUAACCUUCAAGCUUCCUCCAAAAUGUGGAAAUUAACCUUCAACCAGCUCUUCAAUCAAAAAUUCGCUUUCAAUCAACCUUCAAGAUCUGGAAAUUUGCCUUCAACUAGCAAGAAAUUCGCCUUCAACUUAGCUUUCAAGAUCUGGAAAUUUGCCUUGAAUCUGCUCAAUUUCGCACCACUAGGUCUGCUCCUCAAAUUCGCACAAGGGAAAAUAAAUGAAUGAUUUAAAAUUUCAAAAAAAACCUUCCCUUUAUAGGGCGCUCACCCCACUUUGCCCAUUAGGCCGACUUGGUAGAGGCUUAAAUAAAUUAAAAAAACCCCUCCACAAGCUUGGCCGACUUGAUAAAUAAAUAAAAUAAUAAAUCUUGGGCGCUAAAAUAUGAAUUUUUGAUUUUUUAAAUUAAUUUCAAAGCCUAAGGUUGAUUUUAUUUAUUUAUUUAAAGGCUUAGAAAAUUAAUUAAUCAAUUAAUAAGUGCCUCAACCCAUGCGAAUUUGUCUUAGCCCUCCAAAUGAGAUUUAAUUAGCAAAUUUAGUGAAGAGAUAUAAGCAAGCUUAGUGGAUGCUAAAGCUUGGUCAAGAUUUGAUGAAGGCUUAUUCUCCAUAGGCACUAGAAUGCUUAAGAUAUGAGAAAGGCUUAAAUUACUUCAAGAAGGCUUAUUUGAACUUUUCAUCUAGGCUUAUUCACUCCUCACAAUCUAGAUUUGCCAUCUUUCAUGUUCUUGUCAUCAUAAUUUUGCAACUUGCCUUUGACUUAGCCUAAACAAGGUGAAUAAUAGGUGUCUUCAAGGAUUUCGCCUUGGACCCUUUGGAAGGGUCAGGAGCGAUUUUCUUGAUUAGGCCUUAAAUACCUCAUUCUUUCACUUCAAAAUCCUCCGGAAGGUGAAUAUAUACUUGUUUUGGCCCAACAAAGCCUAGGAUUUCAACUUUUAGUCUUUCACAUGGGUAAAUUAGGUGAAAAUGGGAAUUUCGCUCUGGACCCUUUGGAAGGGUUAGGAGCGAAAUUCACCUUUUAGGUCAAAACUCACCUUUGCUUGAUCAUCAACCUUCUCUAAGGCAAUCUCCAGGGUCCAUUCACCUUGACCACUGACUUGGCUUAACAAUAUUUUGAAGGAAACACUGCAUUUUAGGAAUUUCGCUCUGGACCCUUUGGAAGGGUUAGGAGCGAAAUUCACUCUUUAGGCCUAAUUUCCAAUCUCCUUCACCUCAAUUCAUCUAAACUCCUUCAGUUUGAAUCCACUUCUCAACUUGGCAGUAUUGGUUUGAUUCUCACAAGGCCAAAAAGGUCAAAUUUGCUCAAAAACCUAGCCAGGGAUAGGACCUAUCCAGAAUUUCGCUCUGGACCCUUUGGAAGGGUCAGGAGCGAAAUUCCAAUUUGAGCUCAAAAUAUGCAUCUUUGAUGGUCAAAAAUCUUUCCAAGGAAUUCCAAAUAGCCUCUUUCAUCUUUGUUUAGGCCUAACUUUACUCAAGUCUUGAAGAAAAAGGUGGUUUUAGGGUUUUUCACUCUGGACCCUUUGGAAGGGUCAGGAGCGAAUUUCUUGCUUGUAGUUCACUUCUUCAUCAUUUCAACUUCAAUCCACCUCACAAGGCAAGGAAACACUUCUCUUCUCUCAUCCAACCCAAGUUUAACUUGAUUUUGCAAGGAAAAAUAGGUGAUUGAAGGAUUUUCGCCCUGGACCCUUUGGAAGGGUUAGGAGCAAAUUUCCUCCUUUGGCCUAAAAUUAUCACUUCUGGAGACAACAAUCAGCUCAAGGGUAAUCUCAAGGGCAUCUUUCACCUUGGCCUAGGCAUAGUUUAGCAUAAAUUUGAAAGGAAUAGGUAGAUUUUGGGAUUUUCGCUCUGGACCCUUUGGAAGGGUCAGGAGCGAAAAUCUUGUUUUAGGGCUAUUUCUCCAUCCUUUCAACUUCAAAUCACCUCCAAGACUUAGAACACCUUGCCUCACUCCUCUCUAGGUCAUAAAAAUCAAAAUCUUGACUUGAUUUGCAAGGAAAAAAGGGUGAUCUUAGGAAUUUCGCUCUGGACCCUUUGGAAGGGUCAGGAGCGAAAUUCUCAUUUUGGCUUCAAAAUUUGCAUUCUUGGUGACCAAAAUCCACUCUAAGGCAAUCCAAAUGACUUCUGUCACCCUUGUCCAAGUUUGACUUUGCUCAAAUUUUAGAAGAAAAGAUGGUUUAUUAGGAUUUUCGCUCUGGACCCUUUGGAAGGGUCAGGAGCGAAAAUCUCAUUCUAGGCUCAAUUCCUUCAUCUUAAAUGGUUUUUAGCAACUUAAAGUCACUCUCAGGGGCAACUCCUCCUUGAUUUUACCUUAGCCCACACUUGAUCUAGCACAAAAUUGAUAGCAAAGAGAGGGUUUUGAGAAAAUUCGCUCUGGACCCUUUGGAAGGGUUAGGAGCGAAAAUCUCAUUCUUGACCAAAAAUCAUCAUUCUUUCAACUUGAAACUUCAUUGCAAGGUAGAAUCUCAUCUUUUAUCGCCCUAGGAACAAGGUUUUAAGCCCAGGAAAGGUCAAAAAGUAGGCUUGUAAGGGAUUUUGCUCUGGACCCUUUGGAAGGGUCAGGAGCGAAAUUUCCUUUCCUGGCUAAAAUCCUUCACUUUCAUAACUACCAAACACUCCCAAAGGCUAGAUCAUGUUCAUUCUCCUUCUCAUCAUGCCUUGGACAUCAAAUUUUAGCCAAACAAGGAAAGAAAUGCAUCUUAGGAAGAUUUUCGCUCUGGACCCUUUGGAAGGGUCAGGAGCGAAAAUCUUGAUUUAGGCUAAAUUAUUCAUUUUUCCAAUUCAAAACAACUUCAAGAGGCAAAGACAAGCUAUCUCACUUCCAUCCACGCCAUAAAAGACCAAGGAUUUGACCUCCUUUCUAUGGAAAAUAGGUGUUUUUAGGAAUUUCGCUCUGGACCCUUUGGAAGGGUCAGGAGCGAAAUUCACCCUUUUGGUCCAAAAUCCUUCACACUUCAAUGCUUUUAAACAUUCCAAAGGCCACAAGAUAUCCAUCCUUCCUUUCAAGAUACCCUGCAAAUCAAAAUUUAGUCAAACUUAGGAGGAAAUGAGCUUCAAGAGGAUUUUCGCUCUGGAUCCUUUGGAAGGGUCAGGAGCGAAAACUUCAUUCUAGGCUAGAUUACUCAGUUUUCAAACUUCAAACCACCUCAAGAAGCAAAAUUAGAUCAUUUUCCACCUAAGGAACAAGGUUUCAAGUCCAUUCAAGGCAACAAAUGAGGUUUAUGAUGAAUUUCGCUCUGGACCCUUUGGAAGGGUCAGGAGCAAAAAUUUCAUUUAGGCCAAAAUCUUGUUCUUCAAAAAAUCCACCAACUCUAUCUCAAGGCAAGAUCAAACCAAUUCAUCUUCAAACAUGCCCUAGAAACCAACACUUAGCCAAAAUUGAGAAGAAAAUGUGAGCUACAAAGAUUUUCGCUCUGGACCCUUCAGAAGGGUCAGGAGCGAAAAUCAAGAUUUGAGCUUGAUUCUUGACCUUUUGAACUCCAAUUCUCUUUGAGAGGCAAACAUAGACCCUUCUUCACGCAUUCCCAUCAAGAUCCUGACUUUAGCCAAGGAAAAAUGAGAGCUUUCAAGAAUUUCGCUCUGGACCCUUUGGAAGGGUCAGGAGCGAAAUUCAUCCUCUUGACUAAAAUCCUUCAUCUCAUCCAUCAUCAAUCACUCCCUAGGGCUAGAAUGUAUCAAAUUGCCCUUACUAUGCCUAAGGAAGCUAUAAUCCUGGCCUCGACAAGUGAGAAUUUGAUGCUUAAGGGGAUUUUCGCUCUUGACCCUUUGGAGGGGUUAGGAGCGAAAUCCCUAUUCUUGGCUAGUUUCUCACCUUGGUUUAUCUCAUUUCCCUCCAAAUUUGAUCAAAUCAACUUCCUUGUUUCACAAUCAAGACAAUUCCUCAUCCAACUUGGUCUAGGCAAAGUCCAACUGGGUUUUCAGGGCCAAAGGAAGGCAAGAAAGGGAGAUUUCGCUCUGGACCCUUUGGAGGGGUCAGGAGCGAAAAUCUUCUCCUAGACUGGCUUUCAUCAUUUCAAAGUCUAAAAACUCUCCUUCAAGGCAAAAAAAUGUAUCAACUUUCUCAAUUACGCCUCAAAAGUCAACAACCUUGGUCAUAUCUUUCCAAAACUCCUUCAGUCAUCAUCAAGUGCAUUUGUUCAUUAGUUUCUAAAAUCACCACUUUCAUCUCUCUCUGACCACUGACUCUGCUCAAUCGACUCAGACCUGGAGGAAAACAGGACUCUGACAAGGAAACCAUCAAUCCAGACCUAUCUGACCUAAGACCUAUUGACCCUCUUCCUUGAUCUAACCACCUUGAUUCACAACUAACGACCUCCCAAAACUAGGCUAGACUCAACUUGAAAGAAACUCUAAUACGAGCUUUCAGAGAUAAACCCUAAUCUAGCUAACCCAGGCGACCACUCACUCACUCCGAACCUAGCAAGCAGAGAGAAAACCUAACUAAGGGAAAGCAAAAACCCAAGAAAAAGAGGGGGUCCCCAUUCUAAUGGGGCGAGGUGUGAAAUGGUCACAACACUAUUGUGGAAAUACAAGAAAAUGUGAAAUCUUUUAGCGCAUCAUUGAUCGUAGGUGGACAAACCAACUCCACCAACCGAUACAUGCCUUCGCCUACUUCUUGAACCCGAAGUUCUACUUCUCCGAUUCAUUUAGGGCUGAUGAGGAGGUCAUGGCAGGUGUUAUUGCAUGCUGUGAUAAGAUGACACUUGAUUCUGAGUUGAAAGACAAGGUUCUUGAUGAGUUGGAGAUCUACAAGAGUGCAAAGGGGAGACUCUUUCUCAUCACAACUAGCAAUUGAUAGGAGAGGAAAACAACCAGAUUUAUGGUGGGAAAAUUAUGGUGCUGGCACGCCUAAUCUUCAAAAGAUAGCCGUUCGUGUUUUGUCUCAGCCAUGCAGUGCUUCUAGGUGUGAAUGAAAUUGGAGUGUAUUUAAGAGAAUUCACACAAAGAAGAGAAAUAGAUUGACACAAAAGCGGCCCAAUGAUCUUGUCUUUGUUCGAUACAACCUUCGCCUUCGAGUUAGAAAGGUGGAGGGCAUUUCACAUGAGGCUAUUGAUUUGGAUGAAAUUGAUCCAUAUGGUGAUUGGACCGUGAAUGAACAAAAUGAUGGUGAUGAUGUUCUCCUUACCGAAGAACUUGUAGAAAUAGAGAGAGGAGCAUCACAAGAAGUAGGAGGAAGAUUGGAGGAAAUGGAGGAUGAAGAUGAGGACUUUCAUUUAGAAGAAGAAUCAUCUCACCAUUUAGAUACCACAACAUCCACUUCUACUACUUCUAGCUCAAGGCCUGAAAAAUUGAGCUAUAUUAGGAGAAGUGCAAAGAGGAAGAUGUAGUCUUCUAUUUAGUUUGUUUAUUGUUGUUUUUCACAUUUGGAGUUGGACAUAUCAUUAUAUGUAAUUUUGUAAACAUUUAUAAACUUAUGCUGCUAUUAAACAUUUCAGAAUUUGAAACUAUGAGUAAUGAGUUCAUUCUAUGAGUAUGAAUGAUGAAAUUUCAAAUAUUGAGUGUUUGGAGAUCAUGUGACAUGUGUAAUGUUUAAAUUAUGGCUCUUAUGUUCUCUAAAUGCAUUAAUUUCUUUAUGUUUUUUUGUAAAGCUACAUUUUAUUUUUUUGCUGAGUCCUUGCCGAGUCUUUCGCGAGUCCGAGUCCGAGUCCAAUUUUUUGGUUUGCCAAGUCCAUGGCAAGUCCAAGUUUUAAAACUUUGGUUGAGAUAAAUCUUGUAUCUGUAUGGUGUAGAUGGCCAGGCUAUUCAUUUGAUAAAAUAAUUAGUGUUUAGUUUAUAGGCUAUUUUACAAGAAAAAAUUCUUAAGUUUUCCUGCACACCUUCUACCCCAUGCAUUUUGGGUACAUGGGGAUAGCCAAGAAACAUUCUCUGUGAUGUCCCUGAUUUUUGAAACAUCCCUGAAAUACAUCCUGGGGAUGUCUAGCAGUCUCUGAGAUGGUUGGCGACAUUGCUCUACCAUUCCAUGAUGGCUAGAUACACCAUGUCAUUUAAAUCAACAAAAUUACAAAUUAAAAGGAAAUAAAACAGAAAAAUAGAAAAUAGUGUUGUGGGGAGUCCACAAGGCCUCUGCAUUUCUUUUGAAACCUUUACUUCCUUGCCCGUAAAACACCAUUCAUUUUCAUUUCACAACCUCCAUUUUUAUUUGUGAAUCGCACCAGUUGUGGAGGAAAAGAAGAGAAGAAAGGAGAGGAGCACUAGCAAUUGGAUUUGUGGUAGUGAGGAAUUCCAGUUGCUGGGUUUUUUUUGCAUUUUUAUUGCACAUUUUGCAACCUUUGGGCCUUUCCCAUUAUAUAUUUAUAAUGAAAAGAAAGAAAUUUUUAGUUUUCAUUUAGAACCAUACUUGAAUUAUUGAAUCGUGAUGCAUCAUGUCUGACUUUUUUUGAAAUAGUUGGCUUUGUUUAAAGUUUUGAACUCUAAUGUUUGUUUUUCAAUAGAAUAUAUUUUCCCUGUUUCCUAUGCUGUUAUCCAAUGCCAUUGUUUUCUUGCAUCCUUGAACCAGAAACACAAUGGAACACAGCGUAGAAGUGAUCACUAAUUCAUGUGAAUUUGGAAGAAGAUUGUCAAUUUAGGUGCAUUUAUACAUAGUAUUGGUGAAUGGUUUGGAUAAAAAUAUAAGCUGAAAAUUUCAAGUCUAGCAAAAUAUUGUAAAAAUAUAACCAAUUUGCAAAAGAAUAACACAUUAAAUUGUGUCUACUUGCUUGAAUGUUCCAUGAGAAUGUUUUUUCUUGUAGUAUUCAUAUUUCUAGGAAGAGGAAAAUCAAUUUCUUCUGGCAUUCACAUUUCUAGGGAAUAUAAAAUGUUUUGCCUUGUAAUGUUCACAUUUCUAGGUAUUCAAAACACAAGUUGCUUUCACUUGGAAAUUAUGUUAGACACAAAAGUUAAUUGACUUGGCAAGAACAAUAAAACUGACAGAAGAAAUAUUCAAAUCGAAGUAACUGCAGAUUAUUGUUGUGAUUUGAUGUUUCUUUCUUUAUUAUUACU
Long non-coding RNA from Cryptomeria japonica (Japanese cedar), 15321 nucleotides. RefSeq lists it as uncharacterized. Lineage: Eukaryota; Viridiplantae; Streptophyta; Pinopsida; Cupressales; Cupressaceae. The record is from RefSeq and is a predicted model, not a curated record. The transcript has 3 exons.